RNAcentral lists this unclassified non-coding RNA (224 nucleotides) under uncultured fungus. RNAcentral's name for it is "sequence contains ITS1, 5.8S rRNA gene". The stretch from base 176 to 224 matches the Rfam family "5.8S ribosomal RNA", at positions 1 to 49 of the family's 154-position model. Lineage: Eukaryota; Fungi. The record is from RNAcentral.
UCUCCGUUGGUUAACCAGCGGAGGGAUCAUUAUAGAGUUUUCUAAACUCCCAACCCUUUGUGAACUUACCUUUGUUGCCUCGGCGGGCCUCUGGGAUUCGUCCCAUGUCAGCCGGCGGCCCCUAUAAACUCUGUUACUUAUAAGCAAUCUGAGCGUUUUCCAAAAAUAAAGUUAAAACUUUCAACAACGGAUCUCUUGGUUCUGGCAUCGAUGAAGAACGCAGC